Apodemus sylvaticus (European woodmouse) is the source of this 8120-nucleotide long non-coding RNA. RefSeq lists it as uncharacterized. The record is from RefSeq and is a predicted model, not a curated record. The transcript is spliced from 6 exons. NCBI's taxonomy places the organism in Eukaryota, Metazoa, Chordata, Mammalia, Rodentia, Muridae.
AAAAAAGAAAAGAAAAAGAAAAGAGGAAGGGAAGGCAGAGGACCUCUAACAUCACUUAGAAAAAUUAAAAACAGCUCCAAAACUAAAUGUAUAUCUUGAAAUCACAAAACUCCAUGAAGACAAUAUAGGGGAAAACCUCUUUGAAGUGGAUCUUGGUGACAGUAGUUUGCUGAAUAUGACUGUAAAGGCUUAAGCAGCAAAGACAAAAACUAACAAGUGAGACUUCAUCAAGCCAAAACCUUUGAAACAGAGGAAACAAGAAUAUUGAAAAUGCAGCCUCCAGGGUAGAAGAGAACAUUUGCAAAUCACAUCUGUUACAAAGAAGUUUCUUUGCUGAGGGGGGAGAACUCCACCUGGACGUGGGUGUAAGGACAAAGGUUUAGAUUGUUGGUAGGGAUUAUGCUGGUUUAGUAAAUUGUUAACAGCUAUUGUGAAAAACAAUAUGGAGGUUACUCAAGAUCUUACAAAUAGAAUCAAAGGGUUCAGAAUGUCAUUUCUGUAUACAUAAACAAAAUGAAACAAGCAUUUCCCUUUAUUUCUAAUAAUUUAUCUGUCUAUUUUAUUUGGGAAAGGAUGUUACUAAGUGUAUUCCUUGUUUUUAAUUCAUACUCAUUUGUUCGUUGAGACAGGAUCACACUGUGUAGACCUGGCUGGCUUAGAACUACCAGGCUCGCCUCACUCUUAACAGAUCUGGCUGGCUUUGCUUCUGCCUUCUACACACUGGGAUUAAAGGUAUGCAUGUGCCACCACACCUGUCCUUAUUAAUUUAUUUUUUUUAAAUAAAGGUUUGAUUGUUUAUAUAUAUGGGGGGGCGCAUAUGCAGUUGCUUCAGUGCUCGUGGAGGUCAGAAGAGGGUGUCAGAUCUUCUGAAGUUGGAGUUAACAGGGAAUUGUGACCUAUCUGAUGUUCAUGCUGAGAACUGACCUCGGUUCCACUAAAACAACUGCAAGCACUGUUACCUGCUGAGCCAUCUUUCCAACCUGAAAUCAUAUUUUAAAGAAAUCAUUACAUCACCCUGCUUAUUUCAGAAUGGCUUACAGAAGCCAUGAUGGAGAACUGACCUAGUUAUGUACCUAUGUAUGAGUGUAUAAAGGAAAAAAUAAAAAAGGCAUAUUUCCUACUGUAUGAUACAAUAUAGAAAAAACUAGAAGGUACUAUACUAAGUGAAAUCAGCCAAAUAGAGAACACGUUCUUCUAUGGAAUCACUUUAUAUGUGUUAUCUAAAAAGAAUCAAACUAAGAAAUCAAUUGGAACAUAGUAGUUGCCAAAAUUUAAGGGUAGAGGAAACGGGGAGAUGUUUUUGGAAAAUGACCAAUAUUCAGUUAUAAAAUGAAUUAGUUCUAAAUGUUUACUGCACAACAUGGUGACUGCAAUUAAUAAUACAGUAUAGCAUGCUUGAAAUCUGCUGACCAAAAGGCUCUUAAAAUGUUUUUUAAAGUAUUGAAAAGAUGAUAUGAUAAAUGUGUUAAUUCAUUUUUACUUUGGUAAUUAUUUCAUAGUAUACAAAUAUAGCAAAUUACCACAUUGUCUAUUUUUUUUACAGUUUUGUUAGUCAUGCCUCAGUAAGUCUAAAAAAUGAGUAGAAAGUAAGUAAUAAAAUAUAAUAAGUUUGGUUGUCAUGGUGUACACCUUUAAUCUAGUACUUGAGAGACAGAGUUUGAGGCCAGUCUGGUUUACAGAGUGAGUUUUGGACUGCCAGGGUUACAUGCACCCAAUGCCAGAAACAACCUAAUAAUAAUAAUAAUAAUAAUAGUAAUAAUAAAUGCAAGUUUCCUUUUUUCAGUUUUGUCAAGACUUUUAGAAUACUACAUAUUUUCCGAACUGUGUUCUUCAUUCCCCUGGCCCUCUCAGACACCCACACCUCCCCACCCACCCACCUUCAUGCUCUUCCUUUCUCUCAGUGUACACACGCUCUGAACAGGUUUAAAGUAGACAAAACGCCUGCACUGAGAAGGGGAAGAGGGCACAAAGUCCACCUAUAACCAAGAAGCUGUUUGUAAUUGAUACUUGCUGGGAAAAGGGAACUCAGUCUCCUACAGUGGCAUGUCUUUGGAUAUGUUAAGUAUCCUCCGGGGCAGACCCCUGGAAGUCCAAAACAACGUAGACAUCAUGGUUUUGUGUUUGUGUGUACAAUUUUUGUUUCAUCUCAUUUUCUUAGGGAGUUUUGGGUUGUUUUGAAUUCCAUUUUGUUCUUUUAUUUUGAGAGAAAAUUAAGUUUGUUUCUUUGAGGCUUUGUCUACUUUAAACCUGUUCAGAUCUUGUAUAUAUUGAAAGAAGCUGAGUGAGUAGGGAGGUAAGAAGAUAUAUACUAUUUUUAAGGUAUUAACAAAACUGAAAAAAAAAGAAACAUUAUCACUUUUAGUAUUUCUAUUUGAGUUGGAGCUUCUGUCUCCAUAGCAACCAUCUGUUUUUGUAUUGUCUACUUUUUCAUUACUGUGCAAUACCCUGUUCAUAUUAAUUGUAUUUUUAACCUGUGAUCUAAACUGCCAGCGUUCUUGAGUUACUGGAACCUCUUUUUUUGUUCUUUGAGACUAGGGUUGCUCUGAGUAGGUCUGGCUGUCCUGUGUAUAGACCAGGCUGGCCUUGAACUCAAAUAUCCAUCCAUUUUCCCUUCUUAGUACAGGGGCUUUGUCUACUUUAAACCUGUUCAGAUCUUGUAUAUAUUGAAAGAAGCUGAGUGAGUAGGGAGGUAAGAAGAUAUAUACUAUUUUUAAGGUAUUGACAAAACUGAAAAAAAAGAAACAUUAUUAUUAUUUGUUUGUUUUUGACAUAGGGUCUGUGUAGGCCUUGCUGUCAUACAGGCUGGUCUUAAACUCAGAAAUCUGCCUGCUUCUGCCUCUCAAGUGCUGGGAUUAAAGGUAUGCAUGCCACCACCACUGCCUUACAAGAUGUUUUUUUAAGAGGGACAUCAUGUAUUGUGAAAAGUGAGCAGUGAUACAGUGGCCUUUAGAGAUAUGCCAGUAAGAUGGUAGGGAGGAGAAAUAGUCUAACAGCCUGCUGCAUGUCCUUAGUCUCUCUCUCUCUCUCUCUCUCUCUCUCUCUCUCUCUCUCUCUCUCUCUCUCUCUCUCUCUCUCUUCCUCUCUUCUCCAGCUCCCUUUCUCUGUCUCUCUCUUUUCCACCCUUUCUUUUGGUGUUCUGUGUUUAUGUACUUUUGUUUUGUUGGUUGAUUUUUCUUGUUUUAGCAAGAGCCUUGCUGUGUACCCCAGGUUGGCCUGGAACUUGCUAUCGUCUCUUGCCUCUGUAUUUUGAGUGUCUGGAUUACAGGCACGCAUCCCUGCAUGAUAGCUUCACUUGAGCACAGAAAUUGUUGAGAGUGAGUAUUCAGAUGUAUUUCAAAGUAGUAUGGUUCGUACCCUUGUCAGGAGCUUAAGGGGCUUUUCUCUAAUCUGUACUGUGCAAAUGUAGUGCAGCUCCCUGGGAGAAAUCUCAGAAAGAUAUGGGCACUCUCUACUGUUGGUCCACACUUCUCAGACUCCUUUGGAAUGAGCUGCCAAGAAAUUCAAGACAUGCUACAGGACGUUUAUCAGGAAGAAAAAGAUUAUCAGAAACUUGUCUAUACACGCACAAGGUAAAGUACAACAGAAUUUGAACAAAUGCAGCUAACAUACAGGCAUUUCUCAGUUUUGUUUCACUAAAAGAUGUUUAAGUUUGCUUAUUCAAAUUCUAGUUUUAGAAAUGUUCUGUUCUUUUCCCCAUAGAAGUUGUUUCUCUGGAUGUUUUAUUUUCCAUAUGUUAUACAUCACUACUCAUUUCCAGUUCUCCCAUCUUGGAGGCAAGAAUUUGGCCCUGUGAUUUCAAUUCUGCGACUGAACUAAUCAGACCUGUUGCUUUCAAUUUUGUUCAGCAUUUUAUUUAAUCCUUUUGUUGUUGUUGUUGUUUUAUGUAUUUAUGUUUUAACCCUCUGGGUCUAAUUCACGCUUGUAUGUGCAUGGCCGUGAGCUCAUCCAUUGAAGUACAGACACUAUUUCAAUAACCACACUUCUAGAGAAAAAGAACUCUUCCCUCCCCCAGCAACUGUCAGUUGUCAAUAGCUCCUCAGCUAGGGAUGUAGCCUUGGAAGCCCUUUCUCCCUCCGUGCUAGAAUUUUGAAGUGACUUUAUCUUGCUGAGGGAGCCAUCCACUGCUCCUCUUGGUUCCUGAGUACAAAGGUCACGCCAUGUCCAAAGUAGAGUACUGUGCCCUGUCCUCAGGCUCUUAUUCUGACCCGCUUCAGUAUUCUCUUAGCCUCGAGGGAGUCGGCUGUUUGCUAGAGAUCUAAAGAUGUAUCACCUCCACCUUCCUGUACAUGCUGGGCAGAAAGCCCAAAUACAUUCACACAAAACAAUUGCCUUUGUUGAGAUUUAGUGUGUUCUUUUUUGUGUGCAAGAAAACAUUAUUUCUUGUUUUCAAUUCAGGGAUCUCUUAAAAUGCAAGUAAAAAUAAGAUACACUUUUUAUUAUUUAAAACCAAAGUUCAUCUUAUCAGGUUGUCAAUCAUAUUAUAUACCUUUAAUCGCUUUCCUGUGUCCUGUCACUGAGACUGAUAUAUAAAUGUCUGUCUUUUUGUCUGCUAGAGCAGUACGCACUCUGUAGCCAAGUCAUGUCUCCUUCUGGGUGUUGUACUAUUUAUGAUUAUAUUUUGUACUUGUCGAUAGAUAGCUAGAGUUUCUUUGUUUUUUUCUUUUUUCUUUUUUUCCGAGACAGGGUUUCUCUGUGUAGCCCUGGCUGUCCUGGAACUCACUCUAUAGACCAAGCUAACCUCGAACUCAGAAAUCUGCCUGCCUCUGCCUCCCAAGUGCUGGGAUUAAAGGCAUGCACCACCACCACCACCACCACCGAUAGCUAGAGUUUCUAUCCUGUUUUGAACUAUUAUAAUUAUGACAAAUUGCUAGGAAAAUAUUCAUUUCAGUUCCUAUGUAGAUAUAUAUCUUAUUUCUUUUGUUAAAUCAUUCUAAAUGGAAUUAUCUAAUAUAUGCUAGGUUGUUGCUGAAUUUUAAAAGACUAUCUUUCAUAAGUUUUUCAAAGUAAUGUACUAUUUUCCAUUUCACAACAGUUUAUCGGAAUUCAGUUUGAUCAAUAUUCUUACUAACAUCUAGUACUGUUGGUUAAUUUGAAUUUAACCUUUCUAAUAACUGCAAUGUGAUAUCCUCAUUUAUAUAGCUGUCUAAUUUGAAAGGCUAUGCAAAGGGACUGGAGAGAUGACUCAGUGGUUAAGAGAACUUGCCGCUUUUACAGAGGACCUGGGUUUCAUUCCCAGCAUUCACACAGCAGCUAAUAGAAGUCUGUAACUCCAACCCCAGGGAAUAUGACACUGUCUUCUGUCCUCCUGGGGCAUGCAUCCACAUGGUGCGCUAACAUAUGUGCAGUGAGUCUCCUGGCUUCGUAUCAAGGUGUGAGCCCUCAGCUCUUAACUUCUGGCUCUAGUCCUCAUGCCUGCCUGCUGCCACAUCACUCUGGACCUGUGUCUUCAAAUUUCCAGUCUGGUUUCCUUGGAGGUGCCUCUGUGUCACCGUAAGUUAUUGUUCACCAAGUGUUCGAACAGAGCUGGUGUCUAACCUCUGGGCCGUAUGCCUGCAACCUUUACUUAGGAGAUUAGUGUAUGCACAUUCAAAGUUCAGCCAGUUCAUAAUGCUGCUUUGACAUUUACUUUCUACUUGGGCAAGGACAUAUUUUCAUCUAGGGACUUAGUGGUGUUUGAAAAUGUUAUUCCUAUAAAUACUAUUGAGGUUUGCUUUCAUAUUAAGUUAACUUAUUUUAAAACAGUUUGAUCUCUUUGGGCUUUACUUUUAAGCUUCUUUAGAUGAAGGUAGAGUAACAAUUAUUUUAGAAAAAAAAAUGUCCUGCUUCUGAGAGGGGGAAAAAAAAACCCUCUAGAUUUCUUAACAUAUUUUUCAAGAAAAUUUCCUACUUCUGGAUGGUUGGCCAUUUCUGCACCUAUAUUGGUUUCAGGGAUUUUUUUUUUCUAUUUUCUAUUUUUUUCCAAUAGAAUCAACAUGGGUACACUUAUCAGUGCUAAGCUAAAUAAUUGAAACCUAUUGCAAAUUCAAGGUGUUCAUACCUGGAAACCUGGCAUUUGGGAGGUUUAUAUAGUUGGAUAUGCCAUGAAUUCCAGGUCAACCUGAGCUACAGAGUAGGGAGGGCCGUCUAUCAGUCCUUCUUGUAGUUGGAGUUCUCUCUAUGUACUCUUUUUUGCUCUAGUACUCUGCCUGACAAAUUCUCCCUUGGCUUCUGCGAAUCUAUAGCAUUCUCUAAUCAUUUAUUCUCAAGUAAUAAAACAGUUGUUUCUAGCCUUAUGUAGUCUUAAGUAAUUUCUCUUUUUUCAUCAGCUGGCACAUCUAAUAUAAUGUUUGGUUGAAUGUUGGAAAUAUACAAAAUCUCGUUUGAUCACAGCCAAAAUAAAUCUCAUACUCAUUAGGAUUAGUCCCUCACCAUUUCUCUGUCGACCCCUUCGGAGGCUAUGAUUAGUAGUUUUUAAUCUUUAUAGAUUUAUUUUUUUCUAGACACACACACAUAGCUUUUCUUUAUGUUGGUGAGAAUACAAGAGAAAUGCUUAUGUACUGCUAGUGUGAUCAAAGCACUUAGGAAAUCACCAUGGAUGGUCCUCAGAAAACUGAAAGUGGACCUCUCAGAAAGAAUCAGUCAGCUUACUUUAGAGGAUUCUUCAGUGCCAUGCUGUCUCUUCUACCUCCCUCUUCUAUUUUUGAAAUUAUCUUGAGUCCUUUGGGAUAAACUUUAUGUUCUAUGAUCAGGUGAUUAGCAACCUUAACUUUAUGCACUAUAUUAGUUUCUUUAUAUCCAUUACAUUAAUUUCUUUAUUUUCCAUGGAAUAUAAUAUGUCUGGAGGUCCUGGUAAUUAGGAUGAGGAUAUAUCUGAGAGAAUGUUAUGCUGCUACCCUGUAUUGUGCCAACUUUUGCUUAAUAUAAAAUACUGUUAUGCUGCUAAAUGCAUACAGAAUUAGAAUUGCUUCCUUCAUAAUGCAGUGACAAUUUUAUGAUAAUGUAAUGUCUAUGUGUAUCUCUUAUAAUGUUUAUUUAAAUGAACUCAUAUUACCUAAUGUUAUUGUUACCACAAAACUUAAUUUUAUUAGUUUUUGUAUGAUGUGUUUUUCCCUCCCUUUACCUUUAAGAUUUCUAUAACCUCAUAUUUAAAAUAAUAUUUCCUGUAGGUGACAUUUUUAUUUUUGUAAUUUCAUUCUAUUGCUCUGUCUUGUUGUAGUCUGUAGCAUAAUUGCAUUAAUAUAAUCAUUAGAUCUUUCUUUUGUAAAAUUCCCAUUUACUACUUGCUUUCCAUCCGUCUCACAUUCUGUGUCUUGCAUUUACCUUUCUAAAAAUUUUGUUUCAUUUAGUUGAAUAUUUUCCUAUUAGUCCUUAUAUCUCUUUGCACCAGCUUUGAUUUCAGCUUCUAGUGAUGACCUUUACCAGUUCCUUCCCUCUAUUUCUGCACAUGUGUCUCCAUUCUUCAAGAGUUUGAGCUGACACGAGUACUAAUCCCAGCUGCCCAGGAGACUAACACAAGAGGAUCACAAAAGGCCUGCCUGGGCCACAAAUUACUACAGGUGUAGCACACAGAUUUUUUUUUUUUGGCCACUAUGAAACUGUACUGAACAUUUGCUAACCCCAAAUAAGAUAAGCCUUGGGCUAGAAGACUCCAAGCUACUACUGGCCUCCAGAGAUUCUCUCAUGCUUCUGAACAUCACCUAGACAGGGAAUACUGAGCCUUCAUUGAUUCUGUCAAGCCUGAAGUUGACCAAAGAUAACAGGUUUUCUUCCUGCCCCUCUGAAGACUCCAUAGAGAUGACUGUCCAUCUGCACAAAUGGUCCAGUUGUGUGCUGGGCUGUGUUAUAGACUACGUUUUACCAGGGCGCUAUGUGGAGAUAAGAUUAUCAUCCAGGAAACAACCAAAUCCCCCAGUGCUGGCUCUAUGUGACUUCUGAUCCUACUCUGUUAUUGUAUCCAUUUCUUACUUCAGAAGAUUGUACCGUGGCCAGUGUUGCGUACAUAUCCAUCAGCAGAUUGCCUUAGCAGAGCACUAUUGACAAGACUCAGCAAGGGGGACAUACAAUGGUGGAAUGUAUUAGAAGAUCACACUGUUGGGCAUUUGGGUUGGACAGUCUUAAUAAAAUAACGAUGGUCAUCAUUA